RNAcentral lists this ribosomal RNA (172 nucleotides) under uncultured bacterium. Its description in RNAcentral is "partial 16S ribosomal RNA". It matches the Rfam family "Bacterial small subunit ribosomal RNA", at positions 1315 to 1500 of the family's 1533-position model. The record is from RNAcentral.
CCUACAUGAAGCUGGAAUUGCUAGUAAUCACAGGUCAGCAUACUGUGGUGAAUACGUUCCCGGGCCUUGUACACACCGCCCGUCACACCAUGAGAGUUGAGAAUACCCGAAGCCCAUGUCAAAGUGGUCGAAGGUAGGCUUGAUGAUUGGGGUGAAGUCGUAACAAGGUACC